Long non-coding RNA from Felis catus (domestic cat), 1011 nucleotides. RefSeq lists it as uncharacterized. The record is from RefSeq and is a predicted model, not a curated record. The transcript is spliced from 4 exons. Lineage: Eukaryota; Metazoa; Chordata; Mammalia; Carnivora; Felidae.
AUGAAGCCACUGGGAGUACCCUCCUCUUCUCGAGGGACAGCACUGAGGGCCACUCUACCCUCACUCAGCCACCCACAGUCCACUCCUGCCUGGUCCAGCAGAGGAACAAUCAUCACAUGUCAUAUUUGCAAACUGUUAGAUAAGUAGCGAAAGCAACCUCACUCUGUUUGGCCUGAUAGUUUAAUGUCUUUUUUCCACUUCUUUGAGGAUUAUCCGGAACAUCAACGCAGUGCAUACAACAUACAAUCAUCAAUGGUGUGUGCAGUACCUACAAGCCGUAGAUACUACCAUCUUACAUUUACAGUUGGCACUUUACCAGUUACAAAGCAAUUUCAUACAUACUGCCUCAGACAGAAUCUAAUACCAGCCUGAAAGAUGAAUCAAGGAGGAAUUACUACAUAUGAGGAAAUGGAAGUCAAAAGAGAAGACUGAGGAUCAGAGUUUAAGGAAAAUUGCCCAAGGACAUCAGUCAAGGAAGUGGCUGGAGCUGGAGCCCUAUCCUUCUGGCUCGUAGUCCAGAGCCUGCUCUGUGAUAACACCAGUCAAGCCCACAGCAGAAGGCUGCUAGGAAGAACCAGCUUGGACCACAUCGUGCUGGAUUUAAAGCUAUAAACCAGCCACCAACCAGCACAGGAGGCUCAGAGACAAACCUCUUCUUAUUUGCAGAAGUCAGGACUUGUGAGCUGACUACUGUUGCACAUCCCCAAUGAGGAUGGCACCUGAGGGUGUGACCUCCGAGUACAGCAUGGCAAAUGUAGGAUCCACUGAAGGAAGAGCCUCUGGCUGGAGCAGGUGACAGAACCCUGUUCCCUGAAGGAGGUGGUGUCCUGGAGGUUGGGGAGCUCUGAUUCCCCUCGGAGCAGCAGUGUUACCUGUAAAUUCUAAUCUCAAGGAAGUCUGGAAUGCCCUGUCUGAAAGAAUUUAUCUUUUAAAUAUGUCCGCUGUUACGACUCUGUUUCUUGUUGAACAAGCUGUCCAGCGUUACAAAGAGUGCCCUCUUAAAAUGUAAUU